RNAcentral lists this ribosomal RNA (462 nucleotides) under uncultured bacterium. RNAcentral describes it as "partial 16S ribosomal RNA". It matches the Rfam family "Bacterial small subunit ribosomal RNA", at positions 28 to 507 of the family's 1533-position model. The record is from RNAcentral.
GACGAACGCUGGCGGCGUGCUUAACACAUGCAAGUCGAACGGAAAGGCCCUUCGGGGUACUCGAGUGGCGAACGGGUGAGUAACACGUGGGUGAUCUGCCCUGCACUUUGGGAUAAGCCUGGGAAACUGGGUCUAAUACCGAAUAGGACCACGCGCUUCAUGGUGUGUGGUGGAAAGCUUUUGCGGUGUGGGAUGGGCCCGCAGCCUAUCAGCUUGUUGGUGGGGUAAUGGCCUACCAAGGCGACGACGGGUAGCCGGCCUGAGAGGGUGACCGGCCACACUGGGACUGAGAUACGGCCCAGACUCCUACGGGAGGCAGCAGUGGGGAAUAUUGCACAAUGGGCGCAAGCCUGAUGCAGCGACGCCGCGUGAGGGAUGACGGCCUUCGGGUUGUAAACCUCUUUCAAUAGGGACGAAGCGCAAGUGACGGUACCUAUAGAAGAAGCACCGGCCAACUACGUG